Choloepus didactylus (southern two-toed sloth) is the source of this 3897-nucleotide long non-coding RNA. RefSeq lists it as uncharacterized. NCBI's taxonomy places the organism in Eukaryota, Metazoa, Chordata, Mammalia, Pilosa, Megalonychidae. The record is from RefSeq and is a predicted model, not a curated record. The transcript is spliced from 3 exons.
GCUUUGGCAGCAAAACAAUUUCCAGAUUCCCCAAAGUGUCAUAGAUUAUAAAGGACACAGAAAUGCUGGAAGGAUUUCCUAACGUUGAGUCGAGUACAAGCUGCACUGGAGAUUGGCUGUUUAUUCUAUGUAUUCGUGACUCACACUGCAUAAACUGCUGAUUUUCUCCCUUUGGUGAUUUUAAAGCAAAAGGGUGACUGGGGGUGAAAAGUGAAACAAUAGAGGCUAAAGAAGAAUGAAUAAAGAAGUGAGAUGUUCUACCAUAGGUCAGCCCCACCCCCCACCCCCUUGCUUCUCCUACCUUCUGUUCUCCAUUAUCAGGAAUGCUGUCACCCUACUUAUCUUGUAGGGCUACUCUUCAGUUAACGAGGGGAUACUGUGAACUUAAGAUUCCAUGAAUCAUAAGGAAAACAAUUCAUGGCACUCUGGUUUGUGCCUUCUCAAGGUCGUGGAAGAUAAAGAAAUGAAAGAUCUGGCUGGUUUUGCCCAAGAAGUUGCCUGAGGAUGAUUGAAACCUUGAUUAGCCUAAGCUGUAGACAGAGAGAGUGCUCUGUGUUUCCCUGUGUCCAGCUCAGGUGGAAAAUACUCACUUUUGUGCCUGAAGAUUAUGAAGAAAAUUUGAACCAUGGUAAUCUUUUGAAUGGUGACAUGAAGUUAGGAUUAUGCUGAGGCUGCUUUUUAAGACAUAUGGGGGGCGGUCAGCAGGAGGGCACAUCAGAAAGGCAGCUGCUACCUGAUCGCUAAAUGUUUGAGGUUUUCUGCUAAUGCUUUGCCAGAGGAACUAGGAUUUUGUGAUUAGCCUUUUAGAAGAAGUGUCAGAAAUGCCUUUCAACACAUAGGUUAUGACAUCAACAACAGCAUAAAGAAAUCUUGUGUGUCUUCUGAGUCAAGAAUUGGAGGAGCUUAGCAUUCCCCAAAUCCACAAUGAUGACGAGCAUGAUGGAUUUCAAAAGUAAGACAAAUUAUCUCCGAAAACAAAGUGUCCCUGUUCUAUUGCAUCCGACAAGGUGUCUAGAUCUGACAUUGUGUGUGCUAUGACUACUUUUGAAACUGAAAAAUUAGGUGCACCAGAGGAAACUAUUUCUUCUGGGAAUAUAACUUGCUCUCUUUACCUUUUAUUUGAGUUCAUGGGGACAUGAAUGAAAAAAAAUAAUACCCACAUUACUUUGUCUUUUGCUCACUCCUUUUUUAUGCAAGCAAAGUCUGGCUAUUUUUGAUAAAGACACAGAAGUGCCCUGCAGACCUUAGUUGCUCUGAUCAUGUCACAGUAUUAGAGGGAUUGCUUUGGUCUUAGAAUAACUCAACUCAACUAGCAAAGUUCUGAAUACCGGAGCUGCUCCACCAAGGCUUUGGCUUCAAAGCAAAGAGAUGCCGCAUAAUUAGCUCUUCUGACAUCCUCUUGAACAAAAUGUCAGUUCAGAAACCUGAAGUGUUUGCUAAUGACAAGGGCCCAACUGUCCCGUAAAAACUGGAAAAGUGGUGUUUGUUGUCUGUUUCAAGAACUGGAAAUGAAAAUCUUAAUAAUGCAGGAAAUGCUCUUCAAAGGCCAAGAAGUGUCAGUGAAAGAUAAGAGGAUCAAUCAGUCUUAAAUACUAGGUUAGUAAGAGUAAGAGGCUGAUGCUGCCAGCAUGGAUAUGUAUUUAGAAGGAAUGAAUAAACUCUUGCGAUAGUGUUAAUUUUAUUUUGAAGUAUAUAAUGAAACCCCUCAAGUACCCAAACUUCAAAAUCCCUUUCCCAAAAUGACCAAAAUUUCCAUUUUUGAGCAUUUAUCUUUCUGCCUUUUUCCGUUCCCUAAGUCUUAACAGAAUUUUAAAAGAGCAGCUAAUAAAUGAAGUAUACUUCAGUUUCAUGUAAUGGAUUGGAUCAGAAGGGAACUGAUAAGAUGAUAUUGGAAAAGCAGGUGGGGGGUCAAAAAGCUGAGAAAGUGCUCAGCUGCGUGGGUUCAAUUGAUUCCUGGUGUGCAAGUUUCCGGGGUUAUUCCAGCUAAUGGCAGGAAAGCUCUCCCCUGAUCAGUUACAGUGGAGGGCUCAUACCCAGGGACUGGUUUCCUGCAGGGCCAGAGGUGAUGAAGAGGAGAUAAGGCCAAUUAAGAAUUCAGACUGGGGAAGCAGGAAACUGAAGCCACAGGGAGAAUUCCAAAGGGGAUGCUGGAAAUGAGACUGUGGGUCACUGUAAGCAUUUAAGGUAGAAUACAAAUGUGAGUUUUAAACCUGCUGUAGAGAAACUCAUUUUAGUGGAAGAGAGAAUCAAAGGAGGUUGAAGAUUAGCAAUGUGGUUUCUAAAGGCAAGACACAGGAGCAGAAUGACCAAGUAGAAACUUAUCAUUUAAACCUAGCCCGGUGCUUAUCAUCCUUUCUGUGUUCUUGGCACACUGGGAUAUUAGAAAUUUACGGUGGUGUACUUGAAGGAAUUGAAAAGCUCAAAACAAGACUAAGCAAUUCAGCAAUAAUUUCAACACAAUCGUGGCAACAAUGUAACUAUAAUCGCACAGGGUCUAUAAUAGCACCCCUGGUGACUGAGAACCUGUUCUGCGUGUGGUUGAGAGUCAGAAAGUUCUAAGCCUGGAUACUGGCCCAGCCUUUCAUAGAUUGGUGACGUGAGCCCAUUACUUAAUGACUGUAAUCAUCAGAUUCUGCAUCUGUAAAACUUCAGAGAAGUGUGGGGAAGAUUAAAUGAAACAAAGCAUGGAAAGGCCACAGCCCCUGAGGUUUGUGGGUGCUCAUUAUCUCUCUGUUCCCUUUGUUCUCAGUCCCUAUCACUGAUCACUGCCCUGAUAGCACUCCCAGGUGCUCCAGAGAUCAGGUUCUUACCUGGUUCAGCCAAUGUGAGAGCUCUUUCAGGCGAAGAUCUGUGGUCUCUUACUUCAUCCACAGCUAGUUGUGGUUCUGCUCUUACCAAACCACAGGACCUGCUCAGCAAAAUGUCAUUGUAGUAAAAGUAUAUGCACUUGGGUAGUAAAGACCAAUUUCAUGUGUUGAACAAAAUUUGGGGCAUAUCUGAAAAAGAGAUGACAAUACCUCAAGGGGCCCUGAGUUGGCCAUUCAAGAACUACCUUUGUAGGGACUCGUCUCCCCUGUCCCAAAUCAAAGCUUCUCUUCUUCCCUAAAUAAUGGGUUGGUGAAUUACUUAAUUAUUCUUUCUGUAAGCUGAAUGAAGCCAAGCACUGCAGAAAGUGUUUUAUAUACGUCAUCUCAUUUAUCCUUUCUUCAUGGCAACGUUUGUGGGAGGUAUUACUAUCUUUUAAAUCAUGUUCAGAUAAGGAACCUAAGGCUGAGAAAGAUUAAGUAACUUGCCAAAGUUGUGGAUUUUCUCAACUGCAGAACAGGGCUCCAAACUCCUAUCUGUGUGAAUCCAACACUUAUAUUCUAACUCAGUGAACAUCAGAAUCACGGGGCAGAGGAGGGAAGGGGCUUGCUACAUCACAGAUUUUUGGGGCCCGUCCACCAAAUUUCUCUUUCAGAAGGUCUGGAGUGGGGCCUGAGAAUUUGCAUUGUUAGUUUCCCAUGUGAUUCUAAAGCUGCUGGUACUGGAUCUACCCUUGGAGAACCACUACUUGAGGUCACUGUAUAGUAAUGCCUCCUCAAAUCCUAGUGGAACACCUGCAAAAAUGAAUAUGCACACUUCUAAAAUAAAAAUAUAACAUUUUGGGGGGAAAUCAGAAAUACCCCUCCAUUAAGAAAACUAUAAUGACCCUAGCCCUAAGAUAGAAACACAACAAACCCUUGUUAGAUGACUUCUCCAGUGGCUGAAGGUACUUGGUGGUGAGCUUUGUACUUCUCGCAUUGCCUACAGCAUGUAACUUUGGUACCACAUUGCCUAACUCAGUGAUUUAUUGUUGUCAUUUGAAAUAAAAUACUUCCAUGCAUAAUAAAACAAAGCAGGAAAUGACUGCCUCGA